This is a non-coding RNA of Salvia hispanica, 1063 nucleotides long. The record is from RefSeq and is a predicted model, not a curated record. NCBI's taxonomy places the organism in Eukaryota, Viridiplantae, Streptophyta, Magnoliopsida, Lamiales, Lamiaceae.
AAAGCUUGCAUGCAUCUUGGAUAUCUUUCACGACAAGCUCCCAGUAUGAAGUUUCGAUGUCUAGUCCAGAUUGUACAAGUGCUCUGCAGUUAUAUAGGAAUAUAAAUUCAAUUGCGAAGGAGAAGUCAUUCAGGAUUAGGUGAAAGGGGCUAACAGUAACAAGGAUAGAACAACUGCCACAAAGAGAGGGGCAAUUUACCGCUGGGUUGCUGGUCACCCCACGAACUCCACUCUCGAUCAACGGGAUAAGAUCAGUAACUGGACGGCAUAGAUUAUCGUACCACGGGCUCUGUCCUUCCUUCUCAUAAAGAUCAUGGAGCGUGGUUCUCUUCACACUACUCCCAUUGCCAUCAACUUGAGAGCAUCUCACACUGCCCAAAUAAAUCAACAAGCAAAAAAACGAAUCUUUACGAAGACAAAAAAAUCCCACUCAACACCAACACGAGAGAGGAGAAAUAAUUGAUAUGUAUGCUUACACCAAUGAACCGGCGAUUCUUCGGGCAGCGCGCACACUCAGCUUGGAGGAUGAAAUGGAUUUCUCGAUUCUUUUGCGAGGAUCAACACCACAGCACAUAGGCUGCUGCUGCUGCUGCUGCUGCGAAGAUCCGCGGAAGCUAGGUGCAGAAUUAGCAAAAGCUGAGGCGGAGAGCUUGGAAAUGGAGGCCAUGGCCGAUUGAAUCAGGUUGCAGGUGAAGGAAAUGUAAGCAAAUAAAAUGAAGUGUGUAGGUAGGUUGGUAAUGGUGUGCUGUAUUUAUUGGUGGAGCGAUACAAAUGAAGGUGGAAGAGGGAUCUAUUUAAUUUUGGGGAUUAGGGUUAAUUUCAUUUAAUCAAGUCAUGAGUUGAAGCUAAUAAAAUGGUGGUGGUAAGUAAAGGGCAAAUUUGGAAGUAAGUAUGAUUGUUUGGUGGGGAGGAUGUUGGUAGGUGAUUUAUACUGUAAAGUGUUAAUUUAUUUAGGGGACUUUGUAUUAUUUACUUUAAUGUAACAUAUGCAUAAUAGACCAUAAUGAGUGUUAAAGAAAGUAGAAAAAAAGUAGUACUAUACAUUCGAGAGAUUUGCUGUUCU